GAAAAGGUAUCACAUGCCAAGUU
RNAcentral lists this non-coding RNA (23 nucleotides) under Arabidopsis thaliana (thale cress). The record is from RNAcentral. Lineage: Eukaryota; Viridiplantae; Streptophyta; Magnoliopsida; Brassicales; Brassicaceae.